Molecule: ribosomal RNA, 410 nt
Filed under: uncultured bacterium
Lineage: Bacteria
Description: bacterial SSU rRNA
Rfam family: Bacterial small subunit ribosomal RNA
Source: RNAcentral
GUGCCAGCCGCCGCGGUAAUACGUAGGGGGCUAGCGUUAUCCGGAUUUACUGGGCGUAAAGGGUGCGUAGGUGGUUUCUUAAGUCAGGAGUGAAAGGCUACGGCUCAACCGUAGUAAGCUCUUGAAACUGGGAAACUUGAGUGCAGGAGAGGAAAGUGGAAUUCCUAGUGUAGCGGUGAAAUGCGUAGAUAUUAGGAGGAACACCAGUAGCGAAGGCGGCUUUCUGGACUGUAACUGACACUGAGGCACGAAAGCGUGGGGAGCAAACAGGAUUAGAUACCCUGGUAGUCCACGCCGUAAACGAUGAGUACUAGGUGUCGGGGGUUACCCCCCUCGGUGCCGCAGCUAACGCAUUAAGUACUCCGCCUGGGGAGUACGCUCGCAAGAGUGAAACUCAAAUGAAUUGACGG